GUCGAUAUACUCAAAUGGGAAAGCAGAAAAACCCUUUUAAAACAUUUUUCAUCUCGGGUUAUAUAACCCAAAACAGACUUUCUUUUAGUCUAAAACAGGGUACCAAACCAGAUAAGAAAAAUGGUCAAAAGUUUUUUGAUGCACAGGAUCCUUGCAAAAGGCAAGUACAGAGCAUACUUCCUUAGGUUUCAAAAUGAACAAAUUUAAUUCUUUAUUCUUUUUCUUUCUCUAGAGAGCUUCAUUUGCAGGGAGAGGAGGGAGGUUUAGGGAGUCAUAGUGAUAAAAACACACGAGAGUUUUUUGCUUCAAACUUCUAUAUUACAAACAAGGGGAGAAUUAUUUAUAUAGGAGAAUUCUCAGUGAAGAUAGGACAAGACCCCUAUCUUUUUUCAAAAGCAAAAGUAAAGAUACGACAACAUAGAUCAUGACUUCUCAAGUGAUCAUGACCUGUAGCACACAUUUUUAGAAAGCUAAGCCCGCCGAUCAAGACUUCUUACAAAGACUUUAAGAUAAAGCAUGCUUACAAAGACUUUAAGAUAAAACAUGCUUACAAAGACUUUUACAACUGGCAAAAGCCAAAUCGUAAGGCAAGCCAAGACAAAACCAUAAAGUAAAAUAUAAUUAUUACAACAAGACAAACAACUUUAUUGAAAGCGGAGAUUCAUGUAUUCGUCUUCGGAUGAGCUUUCAGUUUCAUAGGGAUUGUCACAGUUGGAUUUUGGAAAAAAAGUUUUGGAGAGCUUUGGAUGCUUACAGUGGGGACCACGGCAAGGGGGAUAAGGACAAUCUCUGCGGUAUCCUAGCCUAGGGGAUGUUUGAGUGGCUUUGUCAACUUUGGAGGGUUUAGUGGUCAUGUCAGCUUUGGGAGGUUGGGAUGAGGAUCCUGGUUCAUUCAUGGAUGGGUAUGGCUCUGAUACCAUUUAAGGUACGUGACUUGUUAUCCGACAGUGCCAAUAACAGCAUCUUGGUACUGUUUAAACCGGGUAUCAAGCAUAGUAAGGCGAGCAGUAACCGGUAAUCCUUUUCUACCAUGAAGAGUAAGGAUUAAUCUGAUGCUUCCAAGAUGAAGAUGAGUGUAACAUUCUCGUUUCCAAUUGGAAAUUAACUCUGAAGGUAUCUACCAUGAAGAGUAAGGAUUAAUCUGAUGCCUCCAAGAUGAAGAUGAGUGUAACAUUCUCGUUUCCAAUUGGAAAUUAACUCUGAAGGUAUUUCGAGAGUGACAUAUUGCUCAGCAGGGGUUGCUUGGAGAGAACAUUGAUCCAAGCGAGAAGACUGAAUAUAUUCUUUAGGGUGAGGUCUGCGGGUGGAUAUGAGAGUACGGAUAUUGCGGGUAAAAGAACUGGGGCAUUUGUAGAGGUGGUAAGGGCUGAGGAGAGGGUAAGAAGAUUCACUGAUUUGGGCGGAUUCAGGGAUGUAGGAGUAUUCUACAAGAUUUUCAAUUUUAUUAGUGGUAUGAGAAGAGCAAGAUUUGGGCAAAGAAAGAGUAGAAGAAAGAGUAACAGGAGGGGAAGAGGAAGUGGAAGCCAUGAAUGUGAAAUUCUCGCUGCGCCUGAAGUUCUA
RNAcentral lists this long non-coding RNA (1560 nucleotides) under Citrus sinensis (sweet orange). Its description in RNAcentral is "long non-coding RNA (CSIN_LNC001955)". The record is from RNAcentral. Lineage: Eukaryota; Viridiplantae; Streptophyta; Magnoliopsida; Sapindales; Rutaceae.